GAGCCAAACCCCGAAAAUUCGAUCAUAUUGCCUCCCUCUGCAGGUGGCUUUCCACUCGAGGACAAUUUUGGAAAAUGAUUGAGAUGGGCAGUGCGAGGGAGGGUUGUAGUUAGCAAAGACCGGAGGUUUGCCGUAUGUGUACCCGAAGUCGUGCUGGAGAACGUGCUGGGUGCAGGGCUUGGUUUUGGGGAGUUCUAUGGGUUUGGUUACUUCGAAGAAGAGAGUUGGUGCGGCGUCGUUUCGAAGGGUGGGCUGGGAGAGGAGCUCGGAUCGGAGGAGGUUGAGUUUGUGGACAUUGGCGGCAGAAAAGAGUGGUUGGUGAAGGAGGAGCGGGAGGAGGAGGAGGAGGAGGAGGGCCAACGGAGAGCCCAUGAGUGACUGGCUGGUGGUCUAGCUGUCUGUUGCUUCGGUGGGUUUUACUUUGUUUUGGCGCUAUUAUUUAUUUAUUUAUAUUUCUUUGUUUUUGUUUCUGUUAUAAGUUUCUUGGAGUUGCGGCUUGAAUUUCAUUGUAUUACAUAAUAAACAAUAUAUACAAGAUACAAUCCUUGUUUUAAAAGGAAACAAUAAAGGGCAUACACAUAUCCUUUAUAAUAAAGGAUUUUAAUAUUUACAAUAUAUUUACAUGCCUUUUUUAAUACCACUCACGACAACACUCUCCCUCAAGUUAGAGCAUAGAUAUCACAUAUGCUCAACUUGACAAGUGAGUCACCAAAAGAUCUACUCGACACGGCAUGAGUGAGGAUAUCAGCAAGCUGCUCUUCUAAGUUCACAAACAAUAUUGAAACAAUUUUCUUCUCCAGCUUCUCCUUAAUAAAAUGACGAUCAACCUCCACAUGCUUUGUUCUAUCAUGUUAUACCGGGUUCUUUGCAAUCUCCCGUGCAAAUUUAUUAUCACAAUACAAACUUGUCGCCUCUUUUGCUUUGAAACCUAGACCACCAAGUAACUUACAUAACCAAAGGACUUCUCAUAUUCCAUGUGUCAUACCUCUGAAUUCGGCAUCAGCUGACGAUCUUGAUACCACAUUUUGCUUCUUACUCCUCCAAUUAACUAGAUUUCCAACAACAAAUGUAAAGUACCCAGAAGUAGAGCGUCUAUCAGUUACAUCACAUGCCCAAUUAGCAUCAGUAAAUCCUUCAAUCCUCAGAUGGCCGGAAUUUUUAUACAAAAUUCCUUUUCCUGGAGCCGACUUCAAAUAAGCUAAAAUCCGCAUAACAUCUGCCAUAUGAUCCACACUUGGCAAGUGCAUAAACUAACUCACCACACUUACUGCAUAGGCUAUAUCCGGACGAGUAUGAGCUAAGUAAAUUAGUCUUCCUACCAGUCUCUGAUAUCUGCAUUUAUCCACUGGUCCUUGAUCCAGAUAAAUUCCCAAGUAAUGUUUCUCCACAAUGGGAGUAUCCACGGGUUUACACCCAAGCAUCCCUGUUUCCUUCAAUAAAUCCAGAACAUAUUUAUGUUGAGACAAGAAAAUACCUUUGGACGAAUGAGCAACUUCCACACCAAGGAAAUACUUCAAAUCACCUAAACUCUUCAUCCCAAACUCGGCAGAAAGGUUCUUCUCCAGUUUGACAAUUUCAUCUGAAUCAUCACCUGUUAUUAUCAUAUCAUCUACAUAAAUAAUCAAAACUAUUACUUUACCGUUUCUCUGCUUCACAAAUAAAGUAUGAUCAGAAUGACUUUGAUAAUACCCAUUCUUUCUCAUAGCCUGAGUGAACCUCCCAAACCAUGCACGUGGUGACUGCUUAAGCCCAUAAAGAGACUUCUGCAAUCGGCACACUUCCAUUUUUCCGCCGUUGCUAUACCCUGGAGGGAAGUCCAUAUACACUUCUUCCUCCAGAUGUCUGUGAAGAAAUGCAUUUUUUACAUCAAACUGUUUCAGUGGCCAAUUCAAAUUUGCAACUAGUGAAAUAAGAAAUCGUACCGUAUUCAUCUUAGCCACGGGAAAGAAAGUUUCAUGGUAAUCAACUCCGUACGUUUAAGUAUACCUUUUCGCCACCAACCUUGCUUUAUACCUGUUAAGCGAUCCAUCAGCCUUGUAUUUCAUAGUAAAGAUCCAUCGGCACCCAAUUGGUUUUUUUCCCUUUGGCAUCUUAACUAUUUCCCAAGUAUUAUUUUUCUGUAAUGCCUUCAUCUCUUCAUCAAUUGCUUUGGUCCAUUCUGGACUCUUCAAAAUGUCUUUUACCUGAGUUGGUACCUGAAUUGAACUUAAUUGAAUCCAUAUUAUUCACCCACGCUUGACGUUCGGAUGACAGACUUUCACAUGACACAUAAUUGGCUAUGAGAUACUUCACUUUUCCUUCUGGAGAGAACCUGUCAGGAGGUACACCAUGAUUUUACCUUGGUGGCAAUUUAUAUGUACUUAUAAUAUCAUUAGUUAUAUGAGUAUCACUAGUGCUUACCUUAGGGAUAUCUAGAGAAGAUGCAUUGGACGACGACACUGUUGACCUAGAGAGAGGGGGGAAGCUUCGGCAAUAGUUGGCUGGUCACCAGUGCACUCCCAUUCGGCAGCAUCAAUACAUAGACUAUCAGUCUCUUCGUCGGUGGGAAGCUAUGGGAUACUUGGAGCAAGUUCGGUAGGACCCUGCUAUCUACUCACAACAGCAGGCUCGGCAGGAGGAGACCGAGCAUCAUCACUUACAUCACUCGACACAUCGUGCACUCCCCCUGAAGAUGUUUCCUUUUGUACAUCUAACCAUUCGAGAACACCAUCAAGAUCACAACUACCCUUGUGAUCGAAAUGUGGUGAUAUGGGAGUAUAAAAAUAUUCAGACUCAGAAAAGGUCACAUCCAUGGUGAUAUACACGUGACGAGUGGCAGGGUGGUAAAACUUAUAACCUUGGUGGUGGGAUGCAAAACCCACAAAGACACACAAAAGAGCACAAGAUCCAAUUUACUAUGAUGAAUCUUGUGAAUAUGAACAUAAGCUAUGCAUCCAAACACUCGAGGAGUGAGUGUAUUGGUAGAAACAACCGGAACAUGCUUCAUCAACACUUGGAGUGGAGUAUGAAAUUCGACAACCCGGGAUGACAUGCGAUUGAUAACAUACACGGCAUAGGUGAUGGCGUCCGGCCAAAAACUCUUGGGAACUGACCCACCAAUAAGCAGUGCACGAGCAGUUUCCAAAAUAUGAUGGUUUUCCUUUCAGUAACCCCAUUUUGUUGUGGGGUGUACAAGCAAAUUGUCUCAUGGAAAAUUCCUUGAUCACGGAAAAAAUUGGAAAACUCAGAGUUAACAUAUUUUCCCCCAUUAUUAGUACGAAGAACUUUAAUAACGGAGGAAUAUUGAACAGCCACCAUUUGAGAGAAAGACCAAAUAAUUGCACUUACAUCACUUUUAUGUUUCAACAAAUACACCCAUGUUAUACGAGUGCAAUCAUCAACAAACGUAACAAACCACUUAACUCUUGAAACUGUAUUAAUGGGUGAAGGCCCCCAAACAUCUGAAUGCACAAGCUCAAACGGAAGCAAUCUUUUAUUCAAACUAGAAGGAAACGAAGCACGAUCGCUCUUAGUAAGAAUACAUACUUCACAAUGUAAGUCUGAUUCCUUUAUUUCAUGAAACAUACUAGGCAACAUAUGCCUUAAAUAACCAAAAGAAACAUGUCCUAACCGAUGAUGUACCAACCAAACUUCUUGCAGAAUACUAGUACGGGAUGCUCGAACAGCAUUAGCUCUGCCAGGAAUGACGUCAUCCACAUAGUACAACCCAUCUCUCUUAGUGCCACACUCAAUUAUCUCCUUGGUCUGAAUAUCUUGAAGCAAACAAAAAAAUGGAUACAUAAGUACAACACAAUCCAAUUGCUCAGUAACUUGGGGAAUAGAUAAUAAAUGGUGAGACAAUGACGAAACAAGCAAACGGUGGUGGAGAGAAAGAAAUGGCGUGAGGUCCACUGUGCCAGCUCCAGUCACCAUGGCAGUGGUGCCAUUUGUCGUGGAAAUACACUUUUGACGUGUCAUUGUCAUAUACUUAAAUAACCUUUUAUCAAACGUCAUAUGAUUAGUUAUUCCAGAAUCCAAAAUCCAAUCUGUAUGUUGUUCAGUACCAGAGGCUAAAAGAACACGCCCAUCAGUACCUGUAUUGGAUGAAGACUCAUUGGGAUUGAGUCGGGUCAACAAAGCUUGACUUGGAUCCCCCUGAAUAGACACGACAUCUUUGUUUCCAGUUGUUGCGGUAGCCAUAGGUGGAAGCCUUUCACUAGCUCCGAUAGAAGCACGCUCUUUAGCAUGCAACUUCUUCUUCAAUUCCGGAAACCAUUCAAGUACUCCAUGUUUCUGAAAACACAUAUCUUCCGUAUGACGAGUUUGCCCAUAAAAGUACACUUCAAAUUAUCCUUAUUCUCUCGAGUGAAAGGGCGAGAAUCGAGUGAUGAAGAUGGACCAUAGGGCCAGCCAGAAGAAGGAGGCCAUGACAUCAUAGCCACCGGUAGGGUUCCUCGUUGGUUCCCAACAGCACUACCUCCCAUCAUAGUAGCAUGGCGUUGAGCUUCCCGCCUAACUACUGAAAACACUUCCUCCAUAGAUGGUAGAGGCUGAGUUCUCAGAAUAUCACUACGGACCUUGUCAAACACAUCAUCGAGGCCCACUAAAAAAACAUACACACGGUCUAGUUGAACUUCUUCCCGAAGUGUCUUCAAGUCAAGAGCACACUCCAUCUUGAUUGAUGGAUGUGAAGUUUCUUAAAGUUCAAGAAAAGGUUAGGGAGGGAACUAUUCAAGUGGAACAUUUAAGUACUAAUGCAAUGAUAGCAUAUCCUUUGACCAAGGCAUUGCCAAUUGGGAUUUUUAAAGCUCAUGUUUCUCGGAUGGGGGUUCUUGAAACUUUUGAUCAGUGGGAGUGAUCUAGUGUUGCAUAUUGGCUGUUGGUUGCUGCUGUGAAGUUCAAAUAGUUGGUGCAGUGAUACAAAUAGGUUUAUGUUUUUAAUAAAGCUUUAAGCUAGUAUUUGAUUAGCUAGUUUUGUUUUGGUUUAUUUUAUUCUCGAUUUGAGACUUGUUUUAGUGGUCUGUUGUUUUUGAGAAAUAAAAUUUGAGAUAGUUCAUUUGAUGCUUUUAUGACAGUCUGCCUAUUUAUGCAGUUUCCAUUGAAUUAUUGAUUCAUGCAUUGUUUGGGGCAAUUAUUUAUCUUAAAUUCUUGCUGUCAAUGAUGUGAAAUAGUGGGAGCAAAUUACUUUGCUCAUUUGCUGAUAUUGAUCUGGUUCACAAUGUUAAAGAUACAAAUUGAAUGUAUGUAACUCUUCAAAACUGAUGUGCAUUAUGGUUGCAAUAAAGUUACAGAGUUCUACAUUUUGAGAUGUAUGUAAAAUGGUUGUGAUUGGGGAUUUUUGUUAUCAGACUUAGUGAUCUUGAAUAAGCUAAGCAUUUGAAACUGUUCUCAUACUUAAGUGGGAGAAUGUAAGAAUAUGAGUAUGAGAUAGAGAACUUUUGGAUCGGCUAUAGGUGUUCAGUUUGAUAGAAAAGUCUUGUUGACAAAAGAAAUGCUAAUCCUUGGCAAAGAAGGAUCUUGUAUAGUAUUGAGAUCAGUUCUUGUAUAACAAGGAAAUAAGUAUUUGUUUCCUAUAUGGAUUUUAAUAAGGAAUCCUAAUCUGUCAAGGUAAAGAUUAUAUGUAUAUAUAUAGUGACCUCUCUUCUCACAGAACAAUGCUUAUAUUGGACUUAAUCCUAUUUGAAAUGCGAGUUCUAGAUAAUCUGCAAUUCACUGCAAGCUUGGUGCUAUGGCUUCGGGUUUUGGAGUUGUUGCAGGUAUGCUUUUCUUCUUAGUUCUCUUAUACAUGAAAGAUUGGUUGGAGCUUUUAGAUUGUGAUUCAUGUUUUGGUCUUGGAUAAUAAUUCACUGCGUACAGAUUGGUCUUCUCUAAUCAAGUUCUUGCCAGACAACUUUAAGAUCAGCAUAGUAUACACCAAUAGGGCGCCUUUCUUGGCGAAGUCGAAAUGACUUCACUUUCAAUUCAUAAAUCUAAAAGAUAUCAGAUCCAUCAUAAUACGUCAUGGCAACUUCUUCCCAUACUUCUUUAGCAGUACAAAGAUGAAUGAAAAAACCCAUGAUAGUAGGAUCCAUGGAGUUAAUCAACCAUCUUUUCACAAUUGCAUUCACAGUCUCCCAAGCAUCAUAUUCGACACUGUCUUCAUUGGGCUCCUUAAUACUCUAUGUCACAAACCCUUUUUUUUCCAUGCCCAGCAAUAUGCAUUUCUAAUACUUUGGACCAAAGAGGGUAAUUUGAUCCAUUGAGUUUUACAGUAUUUGGUACGCUUGAAGCAUCAUUUUGAAUAACCACAGGAUUGACAACUGACUGCUGGGUUAAGCCAGAUGCCCUAUCAUCCAAUUUCAGCACAGCCUCUCCUUUGUCACUUGCCAUUAAUCACAAUACACACCACACACAUGGUACGCAGCAGAAAACGCACGGUUUUGCUGCAGGAAUGCAACGACAAACCCUGAAAUCUGAUGUGGUCCUUGUCUCCGACAACAGCAACACGGCAGCCUGGACUUGCUGCAGAAACGCAGCAGAGAUCAUAGAUGUGUGAUGGGUUUUCUUUCUUUUACUGUAGCAGCGACACAGUGGGAAUGUUUUAGGGUUAUGCUUGGCUCUGAUGCCAAAUUGAAUUUACAGCUUGAAUUUCAUUGUAUUGCAUAAUAAAAAAUAUAUACAAGAUACAAUCCUUGUUAUAAAAGGAAACAAUAAAGGGCACACACAUAUCCUUCAUAAUAAAGGAUUUUAAUAUUUACAAUAUAUUUACAUACCUUUUUUAAUACCACUCAUUUGACACUGUCUUCAUUGGGCUCCUUAAUACUCCCUGUCACGAACCCUUUUUUUUUCCAUGCCCAACAAUAUGCAUCUCUAAUACUUUGGACCAAAGAGAGUAAUUGAUCCGUUGAGUUUUACAGUAUUUGGUAUGUUUGAAGCAUCACUUUGAAUAACCACAGGAUUGACAACUGACCCCUGGGUAAAGUCAGAUGCCCUACCCUUCAAUUUCACCCCAGCCUCUCCUUUGUCACUUUCCAUUAAUCACAAUACACACCACACACAUGGUACGCAGUAGAAAACACACGGUUUUGCUGCAGGGAUGCAGCGACAAACCCUAAAAUCUGAUGUGGUCCUUGUCUCCUACAAUAACAACAAGGCAGCCUGGACUUGCUGCAGAAACGCAGCAGAGAUCAUAGACGUGUGAUGGGUCUUCUUUCUUUUACUGUAGCAGCGGCACAGUGGGAAUUUUUUAGGGUUAUGCUUGGCUCUGAUGCCAAAUUGAAUUUACAACUUGAAUUUAAUUGUAUUGCAUAAUAGACAAUAUAUACAAGAUACAAUCCUUGUUCUAAAAGGAAACAAUAAAGGACACACACAUAUCCUUCAUAAUAAAUGAUUUUAAUAUUUACAAUAUAUUUACAUGCCUUUUUUAAUACCACUCACGGCAACAAAAAACAAUGGUGAGUUUUUCUUGUUGGUGAAGAAAAUAAUCAAGGUAGUCGUUUUUAUUUGAAGAAUUAAAUUAAAAUUUCAUUUGCAGAAUAUUUUUUUGAAUUAGUAAAUAGUAAGAACUUGAUUUAAUAUUACCAAAUUUCUAAUUGCAAUGAUAAUUACAUUAAUCAAUUGUGAUAAUAAAGUGAUAAAAGGCGUAGGGAAAUUUAGUAGAAGAUCUAUUAUAUUACCAAAUUUAGUCCAAAGAAAAAAUACAGUAAUUUUGUAUUUUCCACAAAUAGCAAUUGGAAUGUCUUGGAAAACAUUGUCUCAUAUAUUUGGAGGAAGUGAAAUGUCCAAUUUCAAGUGAAUCCAUGCGUUCUGAUUUUUAAAUUCUUAUUUCCCUUACAUUUUUGUAAUUGUUUCCAACCCUUCCUAUUCCCUUAAUAAUAAUUUUUUUUAUUUAAAAACAAGUAAAACUAGAAGAAUUCAAUGGUAAAUUUAAUAGCAAAAGAAGAAGUUUACCCUCUUGGCGCUCGUUAAUUCUAUUAUGCUCCAGUGUGGAAUUAUGACUAAGCUUACAAUUAUCAAGGAUUUAGGGGACAAAUAACUUGGUUCGUGCUUAUAUAUUGUAUUGCUCUUUCUCUCUUCUUUGUGUCGCUUAUAUAUUGUAUAAGUAAUGUUACACUUAUCAUAUAUUUGUACUAUCAAUUGUACUAUCUUUUUAAUAGAGGUAGGGUCCAUCAAAACAUGUGAGUCUCAUCUUUAGGGAUGAGUUCGGUUUCAUUUAGUUUGAUUUUUUGCCAAAACCAAAAUCGAACCAAAACUUUGAUUCGGUUCAGUUCGGUUCAAUAUUCUUUUGGUUUUUUUUCAGUUCGAUUUUUUUUCAGUUUGAUUUUGUUCUGUUUGGUUUCGGUACGGUUUCAAUUUUAUUUAUUUAUUUUAUAAAUCUUGAUCUUUUUUUAAUAUGGAAUUUAGAAAAAAAAAAGGCUUGCAUUGGUAGACUAAUAAUAAGAAAUAUGGGAAAAGUGGAAAGUAGGAAGGUAGUUGUAUAUAUACAAGAUCAUAUAAACCAAUCAUAUUCUAUCAACAAUCUCAAGUGCAAAGAAAAAUGAUCACUGUAUCCAUUCAAAAAGCAAACAAAUAGAGACGCUCUUCCAAGUUCCAAAACCUUCCAAAACUUUCCUCUAUAACCAAUGAAUAUCCUCCCUAAUUGAACCAAGUAUGCUCCUUGAAAAAGCCCUAGGUUAGUUUCAAACUUGGCAACAAAGUUUCACAAAAGAAACAUCAUGGGCAUACAUUCAUAAAAUGUAAAGAGAUUCGGUUAGAUUUUUUUUCGGUUUUCGAUUUUUCAGUUUCGGUUCAGUGUUUGGUCCAGUUUUUUUUCUUCAGUUUUUGGUUUUUUGAACCCACUCAUAACCACUCCUUGUUCAAAAGUUGAAUGUUAAGUCGAAUGUUGAAGUCACAUAUUGAACAAGGAGUGGUUUUUUUGGUUUUUUUCGGUUUUCAAUUUUUCAGUUUCAAUUCUGUGUACAAGACCUUCGUAACCACAACACUUGUCUUGUUGCCCGGGUACAUUUGCAUAUUUUUUUCCCACCGCACCUCCUUGUUCAAAAGUCGAAUGUUAAGUGUUGUGGUUAUGAAGGUCUUGUACACAGGUUUAUAUAUACAUAUGAAAGAAAUGGAAUGUGAAAUUGAUAAAUGAUCUCUCUUAACGACGAUCUAUGAAGACUAUGCCGCAUGUAUUGAUCAGAUCAAGACAUGAUAUACAUCAACAAAGUCAACACCAAUCAUAUUGCGCCUCAUCAUAUUAGCAAAGUCAAGCAAAUUGAUCCCUAGACAACAUUGUCGACCUCUUCACAAAGUCACUGCCGAAGUCUAUGAUAGGAGUAUAUUUAUGCGACUUAGUGAGCUUGUUCUUGUGCAUUUACAUUGUGUUUUCUUAGUUAAAUUAGUCUUUUAAGCUAGUUUCAUGUGUUUUCAGGUUUUAAGGGCAAAGUAUGCAAAAUGAUGCAUUUUAGAGCCUUUUGGAGCAAGAUUGAGCUUGGGAUGGAUAUCACGUGCUUGGGAUGGAUAGGAAUGGACGAGAAUGAAGGGGUCCUAAUUGAAGAAGGAUUCCUAAUCAACGAAUGAGUCCUAAUUGAAGAAGGAUUCCUAAUCAUCGGAGGAGUCCUAGUUAAGGAUGGAUUCCUAGUCAAAGAUGGAUUCCUAGAAGAAUGAGGAUUCCUACUCAAACAAGGUUUCCUACUUGAAGUAGGAAAGUUAAGCCUAAAGUUUCCUAUUUUGGGUUGAUCUUUCCUAAACCUAAAUGGCCUUAAGUUUCAGCAACAUUGAAGAUUUCCUAAGCAUUUUUGGACACAAAGAAGGUUCUAGAACAAUUUCCCAUAGGUGCCGCACCAAUUCAGCAAGGGAACCUAUUUCCUUGCCUUGCAAGGCUUUCUAGAAGCCUUAUCCUUCCCUCCCUCCAGCCGCACCUCUUGGCCUUUUCCCUUGAGGAUUCUGAUUUUCUAAGCCUUUUUCCUGGUGGAUUUGGUUUCUAGAAGCCCUAAUUUGAUUGCCCUAGGGUUUAGGUGCCUAUAAAUAUGUAUUUUACACCCCUUGUCACACCUACCACCCCUCAUACACAUAAAUUCACGCCAGAAACACUCCCAUUUCUCUACUGCAGCCUUCCAUUACCAUUAUCCAUAAUUCCUGCCAAAAACCAACCCUUGCCGCACCACCAAUCCAUCCUAAACACCACCAUACUACCCCCAUCCAUUCUACACCAUUCAUAACCCCAAGAAUCUGUCCCUAAGUCUUGUGCCGCAGCAAGGAGGAAGGAGGACAGUCCAUAGGCGUGCUUGCUGUUCAAGAGUGGAUCGUUGGAGCGUCUAGGUGUUCUCUUUCUUUUGUUCUCAAUGUCUAACUUUGUUUAUCUUUGUUUCGUGAGUAUGAGAACUUAAACCCCCUUGGCUAGGGGGGAUUCGAAACCAUGUUUUAUGCUUGCUAUAUGAUUUGAUUACUUUCAAUUGCGUUUCAUAAGUUGUGAAUUCAAUUUGCUUAUCUAUAUGAAUUAAAACUGAUUUGUGUGUGUUGGUUAAGAGUGCAUGCUUAAUUUUCAUGCAUAAAUCUAAUGCUAGGAUAUAAGGGAGUUUCACCUAAUCGUUAUGAAUUUAUAUUCGCAAGUAGUAAAGGUUGUUGAUCACAAUCGUGUUAAGUAAAUUCUUGGCAUAAGUUUCAUGCAAUUCAUAGUAACAAGUGUCUCGUCAAUGCUUAUGGUUUUCGUAGAACUUAAUGAUUCUUGCUUGUAUCUCUAUUAUGCAAUUCAUGUAGGAAACUUGUGGGGAAUGCUUUGGGUUGUUGUAUGCAAUCAUCCAAUUCAAUAACUUUAGGAAAAUCUGGGGAAUUGAGAAUUCAUAAUCUAUUGAAAAGCAAUUGGAAAUCGUUUUGUAUGCAAGUGUGACAUGUGUGGAGAAGAACCCCUUAGCUAGCUUUCAAUCCAUUCACUUUAAUCAAAUUCGUUUUAAAAUCUGUUUAGUUUACAAAGUUUUUGUUUUGUUUUUAAUUUCGUCAAAAUCAAAUCCCCCUUUAUUUUGAAGUGUUAGAUUAGUUAGAAAUCAAUUUAGUUUGUAUUUUUAAGUGUCUUGAGUCAAAUUAUAACCUAUUUUCGUCCAAAUUUGUGCUUGGUGUUCAAAACUGCCCAGAUUGUGUUUUUAAGGCAGUUUUGAGUGUUUCUGUGCUAUUUUGAGUUUUUUUUUGUUUGUUUUAGUGUUUUAGAGUUUAGUUUUGCAUUCUUUGAGUCUAGUUUAGUGUUUUAAACUUUGUUUUUACGUUUUUGAGUCAGUUUUCAAGUGAUUUAGCAAUCCCUCCUAAUCCCCGGCCUUGAACGAUCCCUACUUACAUACUUUGCUACAAUUGAUAAAAAGAGGGUUUAAUUUGUGUGCUUAUAUAUUUCGCAUCAGUCUACCUUCCACAUGCUUGUUCGAGAAAUUGGUAUGCUUCGACCAUUUCGAUGUGCCAGAAGUAGCAAAAUACUGCAACCUACGUACAGAUUUGGUUUGUCAAAACCUCUACUGCAAAAUACUGCAACCUACAUACACAUUUGGUUUGUCAAUAACCUCUACUUAUGAUCCUUUCUAGGUCUUCUUGUGAAUAACAGUCUUUGAAUCCGAGUUUAUGUAAUGGAAGGAUGAUAUCAUUUAUCGAACGAAUUUGACAAUGUAGAAUUUUUAUUAAAUUUUUUAUCAAGCCUUUAGAAGCUCAAUCGGUAUAGAUACCUUAACUAGAUUCUAGAAGAUGAACGUCGAUUAUACUGAGAUAACACAGGUUGACACGAUCCAGUUUUCAGAAAUCAAUCAACUCCAAGUAAAACCAAAACCAUUUUAAUGCACAUACCUUAACUAGAUUCUAGAAGAAUAUCCACAAAAAUAAAAUUGAGUAGAAAAUACUUACAUUUUUAUUUGAGGUACCAACAAACACGAACCCUCCUUAAAAUUUACCAAGGGAGUCCUUUUCUGUAGCACAUGAAGAUGCGUCGAUAUGAAUAAGCUAGGCACCUUCAUUGUUCUCAGGUAAAUCGGGGACCAGGAAAGUUCCUUUGAGCACCAAAAGGCCACAGUCUGCUUAAGCCAGAAUCCAAAUUAGACUCCGAUUUUUUGGUGCACGUAAGCCUCACCUUAUCGUAGAGUAUGGUGUAGUUUGAGCUGCUUAUGUUUCUGAAGUAACAGGACUUCCCACCAUCGUAUCUAUACACUUGCUGUGUACUCCCCAAUCCACUAACUACCAAAUUGUUUUUUACAACCAUAUAACCUUCGCCAUUCUGCAGAUUUCUGAGAGAGCUGUUCGAGAAUUGUGAACCAGCACUUGCAGACUUCUUCUCAAUAAAUCCCAGUUCAACAUUUGUACCCAACUUAUAUGUUUCAUUUGCUUGUUCCAAGUAGUCAGUGUACAAGUAAAGAGGAAAUGUUUUGUUUGAUGACAGUGAGUGAAUACUGGAGGAUGGCAGCGUGAUAUGAACUGUAUCGUUGAAAUGGAUAAUCUGAUUUACUAUCUGUGUAUCCCCACCAUUCUUCAUGACCAUUGUAUUACUGUAAUGGAAGUCUUGAAUCGCAUCAGUUGUGAUAUUCCCAUAGGAGGACUUCACCCAUCCAGUCGAUGACACAGACCUGCCGACCCUUGUCAAAAAUGUGCCAUUUAAACCCUUGAAAUCCAAAACCAAUGAAACAACAAGGGGCAAGCUUCUAUGCUUCAAAAGCUCUCCUUCAGUUUUCGUGCUCUGCUUGUCCAACCAAAGAUGCAAAUUCGCGUCAACGAACCAAACGUUCAAGGCAUUUGUUACAUUAAAACCAAACUUGUGGCUCUUCCCGUCCAAUAUCUUCCCUAAAAAGGGUGUGAUUUCAAUAUCAUAAGAAGGGAGAUCGUAUGAACCAAUCGCAGUAAUAGGUCUCCACAGGAGCGGAUUGACCCCUCCAGUGAAAAUCACAGUAAAAGGCCAGACUGCACCAACAACCUCACCAUCUAAACUCACCACAACCUCCCUAAAAGGCCCGUUUCCAGGCGUGCUAAGAUUGUUUGCAACAAUGUACUCAUUCGGAGCAUUUGAAUACCAAGAUUCAUCGUUCUCAUGAAAUGAAACAUACACCUCCAACACAGCCCUAUAAGCAUUCUGCGGAAUCUCAAAUUCCUUCAACUGUGUAUCGGUCGAAUUCUGGAUUUCAAACCACAACCCAUCAUUCAAAGGCAGAUUUCUCGAAAUGGGCAAGAUCAAAUCCGCCCAAGAAUGGUACCCAGAAUUCAAAUUUUCCAAAUUUCCCAACUUAUGCUCAUAAUUAUGAUUCAAAAUCUUCUCAGCAGGGUAAAACAGGAUGCUAAUAUUCAAAUGGUAAAUCCCAGUAUAUGUUUUAUCUAUCAAAUUCCCAAGAUAAACAGCUAGUGUUUGAUCGUUCUGAAGCAAAGAAUAGUACCUUGUGAUGUCCUUCUCGACAAUCCAAACAAUCCCAUUCUGCGUCGGCUCAGCCGUGCAGCUCCUGAGAAGCUCAACGCCUCCGAGCCAAACCCCGAAAAUCCGAUCAAAUUGCCUCCCUUUGCAGGUGGCUUUCCACUCGAGGACAAUUUUGGAAAAUGAUUGAGAUGGGCAGUACGAGGGAGGGGAGUAGUUAGCAAAGACUGGAGCUUUGCCGUAUGUGUAGCCGAAGUCGUGCUGGAGAACGAGCUGGGUGCAGGGCUUGGUUUUGGGGAGUUCUAUGGGUUUGGUUACUUCGAAGAAGAGAGUUGGUGCGGCGUCAUUUUGAGGGGUGGGUUGGGAAAGGAGCUCCGGUCGGAGAAG
RNAcentral lists this long non-coding RNA (13687 nucleotides) under Malus domestica (apple). Its description in RNAcentral is "long non-coding RNA (MDOM_LNC003384)". Lineage: Eukaryota; Viridiplantae; Streptophyta; Magnoliopsida; Rosales; Rosaceae. The record is from RNAcentral.